UACGUAGGGUGCAAGCGUUAAUCGGAAUUACUGGGCGUAAAGCGUGCGCAGGCGGUUUUGUAAGUCUGAUGUGAAAUCCCCGGGCUCAACCUGGGAAUUGCGUUGGAGACUGCAAGGCUAGAAUCUGGCAGAGGGGGGUAGAAUUCCACGUGUAGCAGUGAAAUGCGUAGAGAUGUGGAGGAACACCGAUGGCGAAGGCAGCCCCCUGGGUCAAGAUUGACGCUCAUGCACGAAAGCGUGGGGAGCAAACAGG
This 253-nucleotide ribosomal RNA is filed under the name uncultured bacterium. Its description in RNAcentral is "partial 16S ribosomal RNA". It matches the Rfam family "Bacterial small subunit ribosomal RNA", at positions 524 to 776 of the family's 1533-position model. The record is from RNAcentral.